Molecule: ribosomal RNA, 253 nt
Filed under: uncultured bacterium
Lineage: Bacteria
Description: partial 16S ribosomal RNA
Rfam family: Bacterial small subunit ribosomal RNA
Source: RNAcentral
UACAGAGGGUGCUAGCGUUGUUCGGAAUGACUGGGCGUAAAGAGCUCGUAGGCGGUCAUAUUAGUCGAGCGUGAAAUCCCUGGGCUUAACCCAGGAACUGCGUUCGAAACUGUAUGACUUGAGUUCAGGAGAGGAAAGCGGAAUUCCUAGUGUAGAGGUGAAAUUCGUAGAUAUUAGGAGGAACAUCAGAGGCGAAGGCGGCUUUCUGGACUGAUACUGACGCUGAGGAGCGAAAGCGUGGGGAGCAAACAGG